AGGCCUGGAGAGAGAAGCAGGGUCUGAUCCGUAGGCUCCAUGGCAGCUGCUGAUCAGCGAUUGCCUCUCCCUUUCUCUCUG
Non-coding RNA from Myotis davidii, 81 nucleotides. Lineage: Eukaryota; Metazoa; Chordata; Mammalia; Chiroptera; Vespertilionidae. The record is from Rfam.